GAGCUGUUAGCUUAAUGGUAAAGCUCUAUAGCUUUAAACCGCUAUAGAAAGUGAAUGGUUCGAUUCCUUCACGGCUCA
This 78-nucleotide transfer RNA is filed under the name Lactobacillus kalixensis. Its description in RNAcentral is "tRNA-OTHER". It matches the Rfam family "tRNA". Rfam says of the family: Transfer RNA (tRNA) molecules are approximately 80 nucleotides in length. Their secondary structure includes four short double-helical elements and three loops (D, anti-codon, and T loops). The record is from RNAcentral. Lineage: Bacteria; Bacillati; Bacillota; Bacilli; Lactobacillales; Lactobacillaceae.